RNAcentral lists this long non-coding RNA (611 nucleotides) under Catharus ustulatus (Swainson's thrush). Its description in RNAcentral is "lncRNA (ENSCUSG00005009298.1)". The record is from RNAcentral. Lineage: Eukaryota; Metazoa; Chordata; Aves; Passeriformes; Turdidae.
AACUGGGAUUUUCUAUAAGGGAUUUGAGAUUUUAGGAUGGGCAGGGUUCCCCUAUGGGCUCUAUAGGUUCCCCUAGAGAUUCUAUAGGUUCCCCUAUGGACUCUAUAGGUUUCUCUAUGGGAUCUCUAGGUUCCCAUCCCCUAUAGGAUGUGUAGAUCCCCUAUAGGGUGUGUAGGGGCCGGCGUGUGCCGGGGCUCUAUAGGUUCCCCGGCCGUAGGUGACCCCAGCCUUGCUGUGGCCUCGGCCCCGGGGGCGGCGCACCGGACAGCGCCCCCCGCUGGGGGACAGGGCCUAUGGAUCCCCCUAUGGAUCCCCUAUAGAUCAGCUCUGGAUCCCCCCCAUGGAAUCCCCUAUGGAUCUCCUAUAGAUCCCCACAGAUCUCCUAUGGAUUCCCCCCAUGGAAUCCCACAGAAUCCCAUGGAUCCCCCUAUGGAAUCCCCUAUAGAUCCCCCUAUGGAUCAUUUAUGGAUCCCCACAGAUCCCCCUACGGAAUCCCCUAUAGAUCCCCUAUGGAUCAUUUAUGGAUCCCCACAGAUCCCCUACAGACCACCAUGGAAUCCCCACAGAUCCCCUAUGGAAUCUCUUAUGGAUCCCCUAUGGAUUUCCCCACA